GGAGUAAGUUGAUCGAGUGAAAGCUUCUAACUUCACGCUCAAGCGGUUAAAUUCCGUUUUUAUUCCU
This 67-nucleotide transfer RNA is filed under the name Caridina pseudogracilirostris. RNAcentral describes it as "tRNA-Ser". The record is from RNAcentral. Lineage: Eukaryota; Metazoa; Arthropoda; Malacostraca; Decapoda; Atyidae.